Molecule: non-coding RNA, 239 nt
Organism: Salvelinus sp. IW2-2015
Lineage: Eukaryota; Metazoa; Chordata; Actinopteri; Salmoniformes; Salmonidae
Source: RefSeq, a predicted model, not a curated record
UGAACUCCCCUGCCUUCUUCGUCCCUCCUGCCACCACAUUCCAAACUGCAGCUGUCUGGKUCCCUUGGAGCUCAGUUCAUCCCCCAGUCAACCCUCACCUCCCAGAACCCUGGUUUCAGCCCAGUGGGCGAGCGUCUAAGAAGAGCUCCAUCUCGCAGGCUACAGACAAGCUUAUCUGAUCAUCUGUCUACAGCCAUUAGAGUAGAAKCAGAUUCUUUGGUACCAGUUCAUCAAACGGU